UGACUGCGUACCUUUUGUAUAAUGGGUCAGCGACUUAUAUUCUGUAGCAAGGUUAACCGAAUAGGGGAGCCGGAGGGAAACCGAGUCUUAAUUGGGCGUUAAGUUGCAGGGUAUAGACCCGAAACCCGGUGAUCUAGCCAUGGGCAGGUUGAAGGUUGGGUAACACUAACUGGAGGACCGAACCGACUAAUGUUGAAAAAUUAGCGGAUGACCUGUGGCUGGGGGUGAAAGGCCAAUCAAACCGGGAGAUAGCUGGUUCUCCCCGAAAGCUAUUUAGGUAGCGCCUCGUGAAUUCAUCUCCGGGGGUAGAGCACUGUUUCGGCUAGGGGGCCAUCCCGGCUUACCAACCCGAUGCAAACUGCGAAUACCGGAGAAUGUUAUCACGGGAGACACACGGCGGGUGCUAACGUCCGUCGUGAAGAGGGAAACAACCCAGACCGCCAGCUAAGGUCCCAAAGUCAUGGUUAAGUGGGAAACGAUGUGGGAAGGCCCAGACAGCCAGGAUGUUGGCUUAGAAGCAGCCAUCAUUUAAAGAAAGCGUAAUAGCUCACUGGUCGAGUCGGCCUGCGCGGAAGAUGUAACGGGGCUAAACCAUGCACCGAAGCUGCGGCAGCGACACUGAUGUGUUGUUGGGUAGGGGAGCGUUCUGUAAGCCUGCGAAGGUGGCCUGUGAGGGUUGCUGGAGGUAUCAGAAGUGCGAAUGCUGACAUAAGUAACGAUAAAGCGGGUGAAAAGCCCGCUCGCCGGAAGACCAAGGGUUCCUGUCCAACGUUAAUCGGGGCAGGGUGAGUCGACCCCUAAGGCGAGGCCGAAAGGCGUAGUCGAUGGGAAACGGGUUAAUAUUCCCGUACUUGGUGUUACUGCGAAGGGGGGACGGAGAAGGCUAUGUUGGCCGGGCGACGGUUGUCCCGGUUUAAGCGUGUAGGUGUGUGUUCCAGGUAAAUCCGGUUCACUUUAACACUGAGGCGUGAUGACGAGGCACUACGGUGCUGAAGCAACAAAUGCCCUGCUUCCAGGAAAAGCCUCUAAGCAUCAGGUAACAUCAAAUCGUACCCCAAACCGACACAGGUGGUCAGGUAGAGAAUACCAAGGCGCUUGAGAGAACUCGGGUGAAGGAACUAGGCAAAAUGGUGCCGUAACUUCGGGAGAAGGCACGCUGACACGUAGGUGAAGUGAUUUACUCAUGGAGCUGAAGUCAGUCGAAGAUACCAGCUGGCUGCAACUGUUUAUUAAAAACACAGCACUGUGCAAACACGAAAGUGGACGUAUACGGUGUGACGCCUGCCCGGUGCCGGAAGGUUAAUUGAUGGGGUCAGCGCAAGCGAAGCUCCUGAUCGAAGCCCCGGUAAACGGCGGCCGUAACUAUAACGGUCCUAAGGUAGCGAAAUUCCUUGUCGGGUAAGUUCCGACCUGCACGAAUGGCGUAAUGAUGGCCAGGCUGUCUCCACCCGAGACUCAGUGAAAUUGAACUCGCUGUGAAGAUGCAGUGUACCCGCGGCAAGACGGAAAGACCCCGUGAACCUUUACUAUAGCUUGACACUGAACAUUGAGCCUUGAUGUGUAGGAUAGGUGGGAGGCUUUGAAGUGUGGACGCCAGUCUGCAUGGAGCCGGCCUUGAAAUACCACCCUUUAAUGUUUGAUGUUCUAACGUGGACCCGUGAUCCGGGUUGCGGACAGUGUCUGGUGGGUAGUUUGACUGGGGCGGUCUCCUCCUAAAGAGUAACGGAGGAGCACGAAGGUUGGCUAAUCCUGGUCGGACAUCAGGAGGUUAGUGCAAUGGCAUAAGCCAGCUUGACUGCGAGCGUGACGGCGCGAGCAGGUGCGAAAGCAGGUCAUAGUGAUCCGGUGGUUCUGAAUGGAAGGGCCAUCGCUCAACGGAUAAAAGGUACUCCGGGGAUAACAGGCUGAUACCGCCCAAGAGUUCAUAUCGACGGCGGUGUUUGGCACCUCGAUGUCGGCUCAUCACAUCCUGGGGCUGAAGUAGGUCCCAAGGGUAUGGCUGUUCGCCAUUUAAAGUGGUACGCGAGCUGGGUUUAGAACGUCGUGAGACAGUUCGGUCCCUAUCUGCCGUGGGCGCUGGAGAACUGAGGGGGGCUGCUCCUAGUACGAGAGGACCGGAGUGGACGCAUCACUGGUGUUCGGGUUGUCAUGCCAAUGGCACUGCCCGGUAGCUAAAUGCGGAAGAGAUAAGUGCUGAAAGCAUCUAAGCACGAAACUUGCCCCGAGAUGAGUUCU
This 2235-nucleotide ribosomal RNA is filed under the name Salmonella enterica. RNAcentral's name for it is "bacterial LSU rRNA". It matches the Rfam family "Bacterial large subunit ribosomal RNA", at positions 594 to 2812 of the family's 2925-position model. The record is from RNAcentral. Lineage: Bacteria; Pseudomonadati; Pseudomonadota; Gammaproteobacteria; Enterobacterales; Enterobacteriaceae.